GGUAUUGAAAUAAGAUUUUAAAUGAGUGCUAAGAGAAUGAUUAAACAAUUAAAAGCUUUCUUUAAUUAAAAAAUUAAAUUUAAUUUUUUUAGUGCAAAAGCAAAAAUAAAAUUUAGGGACAAGAAGACCCUAUGAAUUUUUAUUGUUAAUAAUUAAAAUUUAAGUUAUUAAUAAUUUAAUUGGGGCGAUAAAAAAAGAAUAAGUAUCUUUUUAAUUAUAAAAUAAGUUCCGUUUUUAGCGAUUAAAUGAAAUAAAUACUCUAGGGAUAACAGCGUAAUAAUUUUGGAUAGUUCAUAUAGAUAAAAUAGUUUGCGACCUCGAUGUUGGAUUAGGAUUCU
This 338-nucleotide ribosomal RNA is filed under the name Ixodes scapularis (black-legged tick). Its description in RNAcentral is "partial 16S ribosomal RNA". Lineage: Eukaryota; Metazoa; Arthropoda; Arachnida; Ixodida; Ixodidae. The record is from RNAcentral.